Molecule: non-coding RNA, 1404 nt
Organism: Mus caroli (Ryukyu mouse)
Lineage: Eukaryota; Metazoa; Chordata; Mammalia; Rodentia; Muridae
Source: RefSeq, a predicted model, not a curated record
AUGGCGGAGCUGGGUAAGUAGUACUGCGUGUACUGCUUGGCCGAGGUGAGCCCGCUGCGCUUCCGCUGCACAGAGUGCCAGGACAUCGAGCUGUGCCCCGAGUGCUUCUCGGCCUGAGCAGAGAUCGGCCACCACCGCCGCUACCACGGCUACCAGCUGGUGGACGGCGGAAGAUUCACACUCUGGGGUCCUGAGGCGGAGGGCGGCUGGACCAGCCGCGAGGAGCAGCUGCUGCUGGACGCCAUCGAGCAGUUCGGCUUUGGCAACUGGGAAGACAUGGCUGCACAUGUUGGUGCUUCACGGACUCCCCAGGAAGUGAUGGAGCACUACGUUAGCAUGUAUAUCCAUGGGAACUUGGGCAAAGCCUGCAUCCCUGACACCAUCCCCAACCGGGUGACAGAUCAUACCUGCCCCAGUGGAGGCCCUCUCUCGCCUAGCCUUACCACACCUUUACCCCCAUUGGACAUCUCUGUGGCUGAGCAGCAGCAGCUGGGCUACAUGCCACUGCGAGAUGAUUAUGAGAUAGAGUAUGACCAGGAUGCUGAGACGCUCAUCAGUGGGCUGUCUGUGAACUAUGAUGAUGAUGAUGUGGAGAUAGAGCUCAAGCGUGCCCAUGUAGACAUGUAUGUGCGGAAGUUGAAGGAGAGGCAGCGCCGGAAGAACAUUGCCAGAGACUAUAACCUGGUACCAGCCUUCCUGGGCAAGGACAAGAAGGAGAAGAAGACAUUGAAGAGAAAGAUCACCAAGGAGGAGAAAGAGCUGCGGCUGAAACUACGGUCACUCUACCAGUUCAUGUUCUGCAAAGAAUUUGAUGAUUUAUUUGAAAACAUGCACAAAGAAAAGAUGCUUCGUGCCAAGAUUCGAGAGCUGCAGCGCUACCGACGCAAUGGCAUUACAAAGAUGGAGGAGUCGGCCGAAUAUGAGGCCGCCAGACACAAACGGGAGAGGAGGAAGGAGAACAAAAACCUGGCCAGCUCCAAAAGGGGGAAGGAGGAUGGCAAAGACAGUGAGUUUGCAGCCAUUGAGAACCUUCCUGGGUUUGAGCUGCUGUCAGAUAGGGAGAAGGUUCUCUGUAGUUCAUUGAACUUGAGUCCUGCACGCUAUGUGACUGUGAAGACUAUUAUAAUUAAAGAUCACCUCCAGAAGCGGCAAGGGAUCCCCUCUAAAAGUCGCCUUCCCAGUUAUCUGGACAAGGUCCUAAAGAAAAGGAUUUUAAAUUUCCUCACAGAAAGUGGGUGGAUAUCCAGGGAUAUCUCAAACAUUAAUGUCUUGUUCAACCACUAUCAGAAAAGGAACAAAUACAAGGACCCUAAGCCAUACAUUACACAGAGAGUGAGAGACAUUGGAACACUUAGCCCUAAGUGGGAUGUCUCCAUCAAUUCCCUCCACUCAGAGCUCAUGUAA